Molecule: ribosomal RNA, 2920 nt
Filed under: Klebsiella pneumoniae
Lineage: Bacteria; Pseudomonadati; Pseudomonadota; Gammaproteobacteria; Enterobacterales; Enterobacteriaceae
Description: 23S ribosomal RNA
Rfam family: Bacterial large subunit ribosomal RNA
Source: RNAcentral
GGGUUGUGAGGUUAAGCGACUAAGCGUACACGGUGGAUGCCCUGGCAGUCAGAGGCGAUGAAGGACGUGCUAAUCUGCGAAAAGCGUCGGUAAGGUGAUAUGAACCGUUAUAACCGGCGAUGUCCGAAUGGGGAAACCCAGUGCAAUUCGUUGCACUAUCGUUAACUGAAUACAUAGGUUAACGAGGCGAACCGGGGGAACUGAAACAUCUAAGUACCCCGAGGAAAAGAAAUCAACCGAGAUUCCCCAGUAGCGGCGAGCGAACGGGGAGCAGCCCAGAGUCUGAAUCAGCUUGUGUGUUAGUGGAACGGUCUGGAAAGUCCGACGGUACAGGGUGAUAGUCCCGUACACCAAAAUGCACAGGCUGUGAACUCGAAGAGUAGGGCGGGACACGUGGUAUCCUGUCUGAAUAUGGGGGACCAUCCUCCAAGGCUAAAUACUCCUGACUGACCGAUAGUGAACCAGUACCGUGAGGGAAAGGCGAAAAGAACCCCGGCGAGGGGAGUGAAAAAGAACCUGAAACCGUGUACGUACAAGCAGUGGGAGCACCUUCGGGUGUGACUGCGUACCUUUUGUAUAAUGGGUCAGCGACUUAUAUUCUGUAGCAAGGUUAACCGUAUAGGGGAGCCGCAGGGAAACCGAGUCUUAACUGGGCGUUAAGUUGCAGGGUAUAGACCCGAAACCCGGUGAUCUAGCCAUGGGCAGGUUGAAGGUUGGGUAACACUAACUGGAGGACCGAACCGACUAAUGUUGAAAAAUUAGCGGAUGACUUGUGGCUGGGGGUGAAAGGCCAAUCAAACCGGGAGAUAGCUGGUUCUCCCCGAAAGCUAUUUAGGUAGCGCCUCGUGAAUUCAUCUUCGGGGGUAGAGCACUGUUUCGGCUAGGGGGUCAUCCCGACUUACCAACCCGAUGCAAACUACGAAUACCGAAGAAUGUUAUCACGGGAGACACACGGCGGGUGCUAACGUCCGUCGUGAAGAGGGAAACAACCCAGACCGCCAGCUAAGGUCCCAAAGUCAUGGUUAAGUGGGAAACGAUGUGGGAAGGCACAGACAGCCAGGAUGUUGGCUUAGAAGCAGCCAUCAUUUAAAGAAAGCGUAAUAGCUCACUGGUCGAGUCGGCCUGCGCGGAAGAUGUAACGGGGCUAAACCAUGCACCGAAGCUGCGGCAGCGACACUAUGUGUUGUUGGGUAGGGGAGCGUUCUGUAAGCCUGCGAAGGUGACCUGUGAGGGUUGCUGGAGGUAUCAGAAGUGCGAAUGCUGACAUAAGUAACGAUAAAGCGGGUGAAAAGCCCGCUCGCCGGAAGACCAAGGGUUCCUGUCCAACGUUAAUCGGGGCAGGGUGAGUCGACCCCUAAGGCGAGGCCGAAAGGCGUAGUCGAUGGGAAACAGGUUAAUAUUCCUGUACUUGGUGUUACUGCGAAGGGGGGACGGAGAAGGCUAUGUUAGCCGGGCGACGGUUGUCCCGGUUUAAGCAUGUAGGCUGAUUGUCCAGGCAAAUCCGGAUAAUCAAGGCUGAGGUGUGAUGACGAGGCACUACGGUGCUGAAGUAACAAAUGCCCUGCUUCCAGGAAAAGCCUCUAAGCAUCAGGUAACAUUAAAUCGUACCCCAAACCGACACAGGUGGUCAGGUAGAGAAUACCAAGGCGCUUGAGAGAACUCGGGUGAAGGAACUAGGCAAAAUGGUGCCGUAACUUCGGGAGAAGGCACGCUGGUGUGUAGGUGAAGUCCCUGCGGAUGGAGCUGAGACCAGUCGAAGAUACCAGCUGGCUGCAACUGUUUAUUAAAAACACAGCACUGUGCAAACACGAAAGUGGACGUAUACGGUGUGACGCCUGCCCGGUGCCGGAAGGUUAAUUGAUGGGGUUAUCCGUAAGGAGAAGCUCUUGAUCGAAGCCCCGGUAAACGGCGGCCGUAACUAUAACGGUCCUAAGGUAGCGAAAUUCCUUGUCGGGUAAGUUCCGACCUGCACGAAUGGCGUAAUGAUGGCCAGGCUGUCUCCACCCGAGACUCAGUGAAAUUGAACUCGCUGUGAAGAUGCAGUGUACCCGCGGCAAGACGGAAAGACCCCGUGAACCUUUACUAUAGCUUGACACUGAACAUUGAGCCUUGAUGUGUAGGAUAGGUGGGAGGCUUUGAAGCGUGGACGCCAGUCUGCGUGGAGCCAACCUUGAAAUACCACCCUUUAAUGUUUGAUGUUCUAACGUUGGCCCUUACCGGGGUUGCGGACAGUGUCUGGUGGGUAGUUUGACUGGGGCGGUCUCCUCCCAAAGCGUAACGGAGGAGCACGAAGGUUAGCUAAUCCUGGUCGGACAUCAGGAGGUUAGUGCAAUGGCAUAAGCUAGCUUGACUGCGAGCGUGACGGCGCGAGCAGGUGCGAAAGCAGGUCAUAGUGAUCCGGUGGUUCUGAAUGGAAGGGCCAUCGCUCAACGGAUAAAAGGUACUCCGGGGAUAACAGGCUGAUACCGCCCAAGAGUUCAUAUCGACGGCGGUGUUUGGCACCUCGAUGUCGGCUCAUCACAUCCUGGGGCUGAAGUAGGUCCCAAGGGUAUGGCUGUUCGCCAUUUAAAGUGGUACGCGAGCUGGGUUUAGAACGUCGUGAGACAGUUCGGUCCCUAUCUGCCGUGGGCGCUGGAGAAUUGAGGGGGGCUGCUCCUAGUACGAGAGGACCGGAGUGGACGCAUCACUGGUGUUCGGGUUGUCAUGCCAAUGGCACUGCCCGGUAGCUAAAUGCGGAAGAGAUAAGUGCUGAAAGCAUCUAAGCACGAAACUUGCCCCGAGAUGAGUUCUCCCUGAGACUUUAAGUCUCCUGAAGGAACGUUGAAGACGACGACGUUGAUAGGCCGGGUGUGUAAGCGCAGCGAUGCGUUGAGCUAACCGGUACUAAUGAACCGUGAGGCUUAACCUUACAACGCCGAAG